This 40-nucleotide small RNA is filed under the name Arabidopsis thaliana (thale cress). RNAcentral's name for it is "ATSL110400". The record is from RNAcentral. Lineage: Eukaryota; Viridiplantae; Streptophyta; Magnoliopsida; Brassicales; Brassicaceae.
AAGUACAGAAACAAAUGUCAUGAAGAAAACCAAAAAAAAA